Molecule: ribosomal RNA, 439 nt
Filed under: uncultured bacterium
Lineage: Bacteria
Description: partial 16S ribosomal RNA
Rfam family: Bacterial small subunit ribosomal RNA
Source: RNAcentral
CUACGGGCGGCUCCAGUGAGGAAUAUUGCACAAUGGGGGGAACCCUGAUGCAGCAACGCCGCGUGGAGGAUGACGCAUUUCGGUGUGUAAACUCCUUUUAUAUGUCAAGAAAAUGACGGUAGCAUAUGAAUAAGCACCGGCUAACUCCGUGCCAGCAGCCGCGGUAAUACGGAGGGUGCAAGCGUUACUCGGAAUCACUGGGCGUAAAGGACGCGUAGGCGGGUUGGAAAGUCAGGUGUGAAAUCCUGCAGCUUAACUGUAGAACUGCACUUGAAACUUCUAAUCUAGAGUAUGGGAGGGGGAGAUGGAAUUAGUGGUGUAGGGGUAAAAACCGUAGAUAUCACUAGGAAUACCUAAAGCGAAGGCGAUCUCCUGGAACAUUACUGACGCUAAGGCGUGAAAGCGUGGGGAGCAAACAGGAUUAGAUACCCCCGUAGUC